This 239-nucleotide ribosomal RNA is filed under the name uncultured Lactobacillus sp. RNAcentral's name for it is "partial 16S ribosomal RNA". It matches the Rfam family "Bacterial small subunit ribosomal RNA", at positions 123 to 355 of the family's 1533-position model. Lineage: Bacteria; Bacillati; Bacillota; Bacilli; Lactobacillales; Lactobacillaceae. The record is from RNAcentral.
AACCUGCCCAAGAGAUCGGGAUAACACCUGGAAACAGAUGCUAAUACCGGAUAACAACAGAUGAUGCCUAUCAACUGUUUAAAAGAUGGUUCUGCUAUCACUCUUGGAUGGACCUGCGGUGCAUUAGCUAGUUGGUAGGGUAACGGCCUACCAAGGCGAUGAUGCAUAGCCGAGUUGAGAGAUUGAUCGGCCACAUUGGGACUGAGACACGGCCCAAACUCCUACGGGAGGCAGCAGCC